UACGGAGGGAGCUAGCGUUGUUCGGAAUUACUGGGCGUAAAGCGCACGUAGGCGGCUUUGUAAGUUAGAGGUGAAAGCCCGGGGCUCAACCCGGAAUUGCCUUUAAGACUGCAUCGCUUGAAUCCGGGAGAGGUGAGUGGAAUUCCGAGUGUAGAGGUGAAAUUCGCAGAUAUUCGGAAGAACACCAGUGGCGAAGGCGGCUCACUGGACCGGUAUUGACGCUGAGGUGCGAAAGCGUGGGGAGCAAACAGG
Molecule: ribosomal RNA, 252 nt
Filed under: uncultured bacterium
Lineage: Bacteria
Description: partial 16S ribosomal RNA
Rfam family: Bacterial small subunit ribosomal RNA
Source: RNAcentral